Molecule: ribosomal RNA, 466 nt
Filed under: uncultured bacterium
Lineage: Bacteria
Description: partial 16S ribosomal RNA
Rfam family: Bacterial small subunit ribosomal RNA
Source: RNAcentral
ACGCACGCUGGCGGCGUGCUUAACACAUGCCAGUCGAACGGAAAGGCCCUGCUUUUGUGGGGUGCUCGAGUGGCGAACGGGUGAGUAACACGUGAGUAACCUGCCCUUGACUUUGGGAUAACUUCAGGAAACUGGGGCUAAUACCGGAUAGGAGCUCCUGCUGCAUGGUGGGGGUUGGAAAGUUUCGGCGGUUGGGGAUGGACUCGCGGCUUAUCAGCUUGUUGGUGGGGUAGUGGCUUACCAAGGCUUUGACGGGUAGCCGGCCUGAGAGGGUGACCGGCCACAUUGGGACUGAGAUACGGCCCAGACUCCUACGGGAGGCAGCAGUGGGGAAUAUUGCACAAUGGGCGGAAGCCUGAGGCAGCAACGCCGCGUGCGGGAUGACGGCCUUCGGGUUGUAAACCGCUUUCGCCUGUGACGAAGCGUGAGUGACGGUAAUGGGUAAAGAAGCACCGGCUAACUACGU